Long non-coding RNA from Mya arenaria, 715 nucleotides. RefSeq lists it as uncharacterized. The record is from RefSeq and is a predicted model, not a curated record. The transcript has 6 exons. Lineage: Eukaryota; Metazoa; Mollusca; Bivalvia; Myida; Myidae.
AUCGGCAUUAUGAGCUCGGAAGGUCGAUCAAGGUCACUGAAUGUGAAAGCUCCAUAUAAUAUUGGCGGCGUUAACACAUCUUUAGUCAUUGACAAGGGUCUGAAGAAUUUGAACAGUAUAACAACGGACUACGUUGGAUGCAUAGCGAACGUACAAAUAUCAGGCGAGGAUAUGGGUGCAGCCCAAGAACCGAAAGGUGUCUUACCUUGUCCAGAUGAGAUGGCGUCGGGAUACACAGCUGAGAUUGGGGCAUACUUCUAUGGUGAUGGAGGAUAUGUCAAGCUUGUGGAUGCGUUCCAAGUAAAGCGAAACCUUGAAUUAAGCAUAGAGAUACGCCCCCCGUAGUUUUGACGGUGUGAUCUUCUCUGUACAUGGCGACAAGGGAGACUUUGUUGUCCUACAGCUUGUGGAUGGAGAGCUCUGGUUUACCGCAGACAAUGGCGCUGGCUCAAUAAUCGCCAAGAUACAGCCUGAAAUGAACAAUAAGUUCUGUAAUGGAGCAUGGCAUUCAGUUAUUGCCACAAAGCGCCGUAAUGUUGUAACACUGUCGGUUGAUGGUGCGGACCCUGUGACAGCUACCAGCUCGGGAACUGCUACGUCAGCUGACACAAACAAUCCCAUUUACCUUGGAGGAAAGCCGGGCACGAUAAUGAAAGGUAUUCGUGCCCAGGAUGAUUACAUGGGCUGCAUGAGGAACCUUUACAUUAAUGGCGAG